UCAAACCUUCGGAAAAGAAGAGUAGUCAUAAAUAGAUUUUACAGAGAAGCUCUAUUUGGUGAGAGGAGCAAAUUGAUGUUAUGGUGAACAUGGUCUUUGAGGGGACAGUUCGAUAUUAGGACUGUACGGCAACUUCCGUUAUCAUGAGUUAGAGCUUGAUGGAGCUUGAAGUGGUGUAUUUUUACAUACACAAAAAAGGUGGUACCGCGGAUAUUUCGCCCUUUCU
RNAcentral lists this non-coding RNA (226 nucleotides) under Finegoldia magna. RNAcentral describes it as "T-box sequence". It matches the Rfam family "T-box leader". Rfam says of the family: Uncharged tRNA acts as the effector for transcription antitermination of genes in the T-box leader family. Lineage: Bacteria; Bacillati; Bacillota; Tissierellia; Tissierellales; Peptoniphilaceae. The record is from RNAcentral.